Molecule: unclassified non-coding RNA, 339 nt
Filed under: Hevea brasiliensis (rubber tree)
Lineage: Eukaryota; Viridiplantae; Streptophyta; Magnoliopsida; Malpighiales; Euphorbiaceae
Source: RNAcentral
AUCAAUCAGUCCUCAGUCCUUGCAGAAGCAAAACAAUAUAGAGGCAAUCGACACUGCCCCAUUUCAGAGGAAACUGAGAAUCUCUGGCCUACUAAGCUUAGGCUCUAGAUUAAAAGCAACUUCUCUUUCUCAAUCUGGUUGAAUCUGGAGCUUAAUCUCUUUCUCAAACUAAGAUUCUUGGGCAUUUCUUCCGUGGUAGGCAUUGAUAUUAGAGUAAAAUGUUUGAAAUGGGUAGUCAUGGUUAAUUCUUCCAACUGACUAAGAAAGGGGAAUAUUAUUGUAAACUGAACGAUGCUGUGAUUUGAUCCGAUUUGUUGGAUCUUGUUGGUUUCGGUCGGU